This 647-nucleotide long non-coding RNA is filed under the name Homo sapiens (human). RNAcentral describes it as "HSALNT0110361". The record is from RNAcentral. Lineage: Eukaryota; Metazoa; Chordata; Mammalia; Primates; Hominidae.
CUGGAGUGCCCUGGCGCGAUCUCGGCUCACUGCAGGCUCCGCCCCUGGGGUUCACGCCAUUUUCCUGCCUCAGCCUCCCCAGUAGCUGGGACUACAGGAGCCCGCCACCUCGCCCGGCUAAUUUUUUGUAUUUUUAGUAGAGACGGGGUUUCACCGUGUUAGCCAGGAUGGUCUUGAUCUCCUGACCUCGUGAUCCGCGCGCCUCGGUCUCCCAAAAUGCUGGGAUUACAGGCGUGUGCCACCGCGCCUGGCCUCAUCUCUUAAUUCGAGUAAUUUUACAUAAGCAACAAUGGGGUAAGGAGGAGAAAAGAAAGAAGGAAAAAUUGGAAAGAUAAAUGGGGUCUUUCCAGUGAAGCCUCCAGGCCUCCAGACUGGAACUUAUACCACUGAUUCUUCUGAAUCUUAGGCCUUUGGACUUGGACUGGAACUAAACCAUCAGCUCUUCUUGUUCUACCACUUGCAGACUGUAUGUCUUGGGACAUGUCAGCCUCUGUAAUCACGCUCAAUUUUCCUACAUAAUUAAGAGUUUGGAAUUCGGGCAAUAUCAAGAACCACAUCUGUCCUGAAAUCAAUUAUCUCUGUUUGGAAUAUGGAUAUGAGAGAUCACUUUGCUGUGCUGUAAAUGAUCGAUUAAAAUACAUAUUUCU